RNAcentral lists this ribosomal RNA (460 nucleotides) under uncultured bacterium. RNAcentral describes it as "partial 16S ribosomal RNA". It matches the Rfam family "Bacterial small subunit ribosomal RNA", at positions 338 to 795 of the family's 1533-position model. The record is from RNAcentral.
CCUACGGGCGGCUGCAGUGAGGAAUAUUGGUCAAUGGGCGCUAGCCUGAACCAGCCAAGUAGCGUGAAGGAUGACUGCCCUAUGGGUUGUAAACUUCUUUUAUAUGGGAAUAAAGUGCAGUAUGUAUACUGCUUUGCAUGUACCUUAUGAAUAAGCAUCGGCUAACUCCGUGCCAGCAGCCGCGGUAAUACGGAGGAUCCGAGCGUUAUCCGGAUUUAUUGGGUUUAAAGGGAGCGUAGGCGGGUUGUUAAGUCAGUUGUGAAAGUUUGCGGCUCAACCGUAAAAUUGCAGUUGAUACUGGCAGCCUUGAGUACAGGAGAGGUAGGCGGAAUUCGUGGUGUAGCGGUGAAAUGCUUAGAUAUCACGAAGAACUCCGAUUGCGAAGGCAGCCUGCUGGACUGUAACUGACGCUGAUGCUCGAAAGUGUGGGUAUCAAACAGGAUUAGAUACCCCAGUAGUC